AAAAUGGACGUAGUUUGGAACACGUGUAGAGCAGCGAUGGAUAUAUAAACAACUUAAUUUGUAAAGCCCUGACAUAUGUAGAUUUGUGAAUUGAAAGGAAAAUCAUAAAAGGUCCUUUAAAGUUUUUACAAAGAAAAUCUGCAAAGAAAAAAAUCACUGUUGUUAAAUAAUAGUUUUUCAUUAAGUCAUUGUUGACAGAAAUAUUUAAACCCCUACUAUUAAUAUACAACAAAUAUUUUGGUAGUUUAAGUUUUAUUUUUGGACAUAUCUCAGAACUUUUAGAAAAGUGGGCACAAUUUGGGCAUUUUUACAUAGCUGUACACACUUUUGUUGCCAGUGGUUUAGACAUUAAGAUCUGUGAGUUAUUUCAAGGGCACAGCAAAUUUACAUUGUUAAACAAGCUGUACACUGACUACAUAAUUAAAGCAGCAUAUCUUCAGGAUUGUUGCAUGAAAAUAUAUAAUCAAACAUUUACAAAAAUGUGAGGGGUGUACUCACUUUGUGAGGUAUGCAGGAGCUAAUGCAAUAAUUUGAACCAGGUGUGCUGAAGGAGAGACACAUCUAAAACAUGAGGGAUAGUGGGUCCUGAGGGCCGGGGUUAGGAAACAGAGAGACUGAAUAGGAAUGGCCAAUAUCCUGUGUGCCCCAACCUUUUGAAACGUUAUAAGGGAAGACUGAAGUUUUUCCAUGGGCAAGUGUCAGUUGUACAAAGAAAACGUUUCUUACCAUAGGAUGCUUUUCUCGACUGAAUAACUUUACUUACAUUAAAGUUGGAUUUUUGGAGAGAACCAGCAGUUGCCACAACCCCAGUUUCUCCAGGCUCUAAAGGUCGUCCUGUUCUGCUUUUAAGCAGCUCAGAGCAUAAAAAAAUAUUUUUAAAUCUCAGGGUUUAACAUAUUCAUAUUACCCUGUAGCACAUUAUGUGAAUGUAUAAAGAAAGACAAGCAGAGCCGCUUGUGUUUUUUUUCUGCUGUACAAGGAGAGGACAUUUAUUGUAGAUUUCCAAACAUCACAGAUGUGCAUUACCAGACCGAGGUCGUCUUCUGACUGGUUCCAGUGAUUCGGGCGAGGUGAAAACAUACGCUCACAUGCAUGUCACGCACCUGUGCACACACCUGCACACUCAGACACACAGUCGCACACAUGUUCACAGUUUUGAUACAAAAAAUUGAAAUACAAAUAAUACCACAAUAAAAACAUUGUAUUUUUUCUAUAAAUUCUUACAGUAUUAGCUAUGUUCUCUAUUCUGUAGAAAGACAACUAAGCUUCGAUAAGUGAACAUUAUUUAUGUCCUCUAGAAUGAUCAGUAAGAUAUCAUCAUAAUGUAAAUUAUUACAGUAUAAAUAUCUUUUAAUCUAUUGUUUCUCAGACAGACUUUACCUCCUGAUCUUUUUUCACAGGUUGAUGAUUAAAUCUAACAUCCUGCACAUUUAAAAGGCCUCAGCUGGCCUGAAACUGCAUCUGCUCCACAUUUAUCACUUCCUUUGAGAUCUCUGAUCAACCAAAAGGAAAUAAAUGUAAAAGAUGAACCAGUUUUCUCUUACAAAUACCGGCAUUUACAGUCCUCAAAGGGUUGAUUCCACCCGUGAAAUCUACACAGCUGUCUGGUUUUUACAUACCUAAAGUAAUAAUAAAUGUCACCAUAAUUUAUAAUUGUGUACAUUCUUUACUGUUUUUUAACAAAAAAAAAGCAAAAUGCUAACAUUUUCAGGGUUUUGUCCAUCUUCUAUUGUAAAACCCACAAGUGUAUUGCCUCAAACCUGCAAUUCAUAACAAGUGAAGACGGUUAAACAUGUAUGUCUUCAUGCAAACUAAAUAAACAGCCAUGAAUUUAGUUCCUAGAAUUGUUCUGAAAAAUCUCCCAUACUAAAGGAACCACAGAUUAUGAGUUAAGAAGGUAUGAAAUAAGUAUCAUAGAACUGUUUUGUUUUUGUCUGCUUUGCCAAAAUCUGUCCUUAACAGCAGUGGGAGUAUUUACAGAAGUGGAGAACACGCAGAAGAGUUGUAACAGAACAAAAUGUGGUCUUAACGCAAGGCAGGAAAAAUAAAACCUUCCGGAAGUUGGCAACUAUUCUGCUGACGAGUUCUUCCAUUGAGAAAAGACGUGAAGAUGUAUGUUAUUGUGUUGCCGCUGCAGCAACGGUACAAUAUCUACAAUCUUCCUUCCCUGCACACUGCCUGUGAUGAUGUGUAAAAUCUCACAUUUCUCCAUCUGACAGUCAUUGCUUGUUUGAAGAAUUAUUCUCAUAAUCUGGGAGGAGACAGAUGUUUUAGCAGCAUCACUCAAAAUGAGUGUUCACACUGUGAGCAAGAACAUCUUGGAGGAGUCAGUUCAGCCCUGUAAAUUUCCUGCAUAUAGACCCACGCUUGUCGACCACAGCUAGACUGUUUCGUGUUGUUUCAUUUACCUCCUGCUGAUGUUUUAAAUGUAUUGCCUCAUGAAAUAAAGAAAAUUAUAAAAUGCAAUCUGCAAAAAGUUUGUAAAACAGUCAAGAAAACCACCACAAGUCAUACUGAGCUUGUUGCUUGAAGCAAACAGGAGGCUUAUUUUUAACUUUAUUUGGCAGCUAAUUGUCAGGUUUUUUAAAGUGUUCUGAGCAUGUUUUAAUAUAUACACAAAAACAUAUAAAAAUAAUUAAGUUAUUAGGAAAAAUAUGGCUCAAUAACGCAACAAUGCAGUGCUUUAAACUGUGCCAUGAGGGGACCUAACCACAAAGCUAUCAGAAAAUAACUGUUCACUCUUUAUUCAUUUCUUAAUUUUCUUUGGAAGUUAAAAUCAAAUUCUAGAAAUUAAUUUAAUGACCCUCAAGUUUCAAGUGGGUAAACAAGCAUUACAAGGUGAUAAUAUAUUACUUUUCAUUUAAUGCAAUCAAGAAGUGUAGUAAGAUGUUCUUGGACAGAGGUUGUACAGUACUUUCUGAUUGAAUAAUUAAGACAGACAGAAGUGCAAAUAAAAAGUUUAUUUCUGAGGUUAUUACACAUUUUUGUUUGCAUAGCCGUCACACUGAAUUUUAAUGUCUUAAUUAUUCUCCGGUUUAAAGCUGGGAAAUCAGCGUAACUUGCUAACUCAGUAGCCUGGCUAGCUAUUAUUAGCAUUACAGGUUGAUAAUGUCUUACAUCUCAUUUAAUGCAGUCACAAAUUGUAGGAAAUUAUUCAUCAACAAAAGAUGGACAGCACUAUGAUGGAGACAAACUGAGCGAAAAAUGAAUAAAAUGCUUAUUUCUAAGGCUGUCACCACUAUUAAUGUGAAAGGCAGCCAUAUUUAAUUAUGAAGUUGGAGAUAGCAAGCUAACGCAGGUUGUUUACUUUUACUAUCCUCUAAUUUCUUCAGAAGUCAAAUUUGUAUUGUGGUAAUUAAAUUAUUUAUUGUUCAGUUGUAAGUUGGGAAAUCAGUGUGAUUUGCUCCUUAUUGUGCUCUGUCAACAAGCUAGCUAUGACUAGCAUGCUAGUUAAUGUAUACUUCAUUUAAUGCGAUCAGACACUGUAGCAAGAUAUUCAUGCACAGGUGUUGUACAACACUACAGUUCCUUCUCAAAAAAUAU
Long non-coding RNA from Girardinichthys multiradiatus, 3543 nucleotides. RefSeq lists it as uncharacterized. The transcript is spliced from 3 exons. The record is from RefSeq and is a predicted model, not a curated record. Lineage: Eukaryota; Metazoa; Chordata; Actinopteri; Cyprinodontiformes; Goodeidae.